UGCACUGAGAAGGUCUGAAAG
This 21-nucleotide non-coding RNA is filed under the name Caenorhabditis elegans. The record is from RNAcentral. Lineage: Eukaryota; Metazoa; Nematoda; Chromadorea; Rhabditida; Rhabditidae.